AGGGGGACUACACAUGCAGUCGAGCGGUAGCACASAAGAGCUUGSUCUCGGGUGACGAGYGGSGGACGGGUGAGUAAUGUSUGGGAAACUGCCYGAUGGRGGGGGAUAACUACUGGAAACGGUAGCUAAUACCGCAUAAUGUCGCAAGACCAAAGAGGGGGACCUUCGGGCCUCUUGCCAUCRGAUGUGCCCAGAUGGGAUUAGCUWGUAGGUGGGGUAACGGCUCACCUAGGCGACGAUCCCUAGCUGGKCUGAGAGGAUGACCAGCCACACUGGAACUGAGACACGGUCCAGACUCCUACGGGAGGCAGCAGUGGGGAAUAUUGCACAAUGGGCGCAAGCCUGAUGCAGCCAUGCCGCGUGURUGAARAARGCCUUCGGGUUGUAAAGUACUUUCAGCGRGGAGGAAGGCGWURWGGUUAAUAACCUYRKCGAUUGACGUUACYCGCAGAARAARCACCGGCUAACUCCGUGCCAGCAGCCGCGGUAAUACGGAGGGUGCRAGCGUUAAUCGGAAUUACUGGGCGUAAAGCGCACGCAGGCGGUCUGUCAAGUCGGAUGUGAAAUCCCCGGGCUCAACCUGGGAACUGYRUYYGAAACUGGSAGGCUAKAGUCUUGUAGAGGGGGGUAGAAUUCCAGGUGUAGCGGUGAAAUGCGUAGAGAUCUGGAGGAAUACCGGUGGCGAAGGCGGCCCCCUGGACAAAGACUGACGCUCAGGUGCGAAAGCGUGGGGAGCAAACAGGAUUAGAUACCCUGGUAGUCCACGCCGYAAACGAUGUCGAYUUGGAGGUUGUGCCCUUGAGGCGUGGCUUYCGGAGCUAACGCGUUAARUCGACCGCCUGGGGGAGUACGGCCGCAAGGUUAAAACUCAAUGAAUUGACGGGGGGCCCGCACAAGCGGUGGAGCAUGUGGUUUAAUUCGAUGCRACGCGAAGAACCUUAYCURSUCUUUGWCAUCCYACAGAACUUUAKCAGAGAUGCUUUGGUGCCUUCGGGAACUSUGAGAMCAGGUGCUGCAUGGCUGGUCGUCAGCUCGUGUUGUGAAUGUGGGUAGUCCUCGCAACGAGCGCAACCACCCUUAUCACUYUGGU
Molecule: ribosomal RNA, 1090 nt
Filed under: Enterobacter sp.
Lineage: Bacteria; Pseudomonadati; Pseudomonadota; Gammaproteobacteria; Enterobacterales; Enterobacteriaceae
Description: partial 16S ribosomal RNA
Source: RNAcentral